This 29-nucleotide non-coding RNA is filed under the name Rattus norvegicus (Norway rat). Lineage: Eukaryota; Metazoa; Chordata; Mammalia; Rodentia; Muridae. The record is from RNAcentral.
UUUCAGAUUAAAGGUGUUUGGUUAGAGUA